UUGGGUUGAAAACCGAGGAGAUGAGCUGUGGAUAGGGGUGAAAGGCCAAUCAAACUCCGUGAUAGCUGGUUCUCCCCGAAAUGCAUUUAGGUGCAGCGUUGCGUGUUUCUUGCCGGAGGUAGAGCACUGGAUGGUCUAGGGGGCCUACAAGCUUACCGAAAUCAGCCAAACUCCGAAUGCCGGUAAGUGAGAGCGUGGCAGUGAGACUGUGGGGGAUAAGCUUCAUAGUCGAGAGGGAAACAGCCCAGAUCAUCAGCUAAGGCCCCUAAGUGGUGACUAAGUGGAAAAGGAUGUGGAGUUGCGUUGACAACCAGGAGGUUGGCUUGGAAGCAGCCAUCCUUGAAAGAGUGCGUAAUAGCUCACUGGUCAAGUGAUUCUGCGCCGACAAUGUAGCGGGGCUUAAGUUAUCCGCCGAAGCUGUGGCGCCUGCACUGUUGUGUGGGUGGGUAGGGGAGCGUCGUGUGUGUGGUGAAGUUGCGGGGUGACCUGUGGUGGAGUGCAUGCGAGUGAGAAUGCAGGCAUGAGUAGCGAAUGACGGGUGGGAAACCCGUCCGCCGAAUAUCUAAGGGUUCCAGGGUCAAGUUAAUCUGCCCUGGGUUAGUCGGGGCCUAAGGCGAGGCCGACAGGCGUAGUCGAUGGAUAACGGGUUGAUAUUCCCGUACCGGCGGAGCAACGUCCGUGCCGGGGCGCAUGAUGCUAAGCAUGCGAGGCUGUGGUUUGUCUUUCGGGGCAGGUCAUGGUUGAGUCUGUGAUCCGAUUGUGUAGUAGGCAAGCUGCGGAGGGACGCAGGAAGGUAGCUCAUCCUUGGUUUUGGUUGAUCUGAGGCUAAGUGUGUAGGGCGGGGUGUAGGUAAAUCCGCAUCCUGGGUGCCUGAGACAUGAUGGGCCUAGCCCCUUUGAGGGGUUGGGUUGAGUGAUCCUAUGCUGCCUAGAAAAGCUUCGUUAGCGAGUUGUGAGCCGCCCGUACCCUAAACCGACACAGGUGGAUAAGUAGAGAAUACUAAGGCGAUCGAGUGAAUCGUGGUGAAGGAACUCGGCAAAAUACCCCCGUAACUUCGGGAUAAGGGGGACCUGAUACGUGACCAGCCUUGCGUUGUGAGCGUUGAGGGUCGCAGAGACCAGGCCCAAGCGACUGUUUACUAAAAACACAGGUCCGUGCCAACUCGUAAGAGGACGUAUACGGACUGACUCCUGCCCGGUGCUGGAAGGUUAAGGGGAACUGUCAGCCAUUUUGUGUGGUGAAGCGGUGAACUUAAGCCCCAGUAAACGGCGGUGGUAACUAUAACCAUCCUAAGGUAGCGAAAUUCCUUGUCGGGUAAGUUCCGACCUGCACGAAUGGAGUAACGAUUUGGGCGCUGUCUCCACCACGAACCCGGUGAAAUUGCAUUACGAGUAAAGAUGCUCGUUACGCGCAGCAGGACGGAAAGACCCCGGGACCUUUACUAUAGUUUGGUAUUGGUGAUCGGUGUGACUUGUGUAGGAUAGGUGGGAGACUGUGAAGCCGGGACGCUAGUUUCGGUGGAGUCGCCGUUGAAAUACCACUCUGGUCACUCUGGUUAUCUAACCUAGGACCGUUAUCCGGUUCAGGGACAGUGCCUGAUGGGUAGUUUGACUGGGGCGGUCGCCUCCUAAAAGGUAACGGAGGCGCCCAAAGGUUCCCUCAGCCUGGUUGGCAAUCAGGUGUUGAGUGUAAGUGCACAAGGGAGCUUGACUGUGAGACUGACGGGUCGAGCAGGUACGAAAGUAGGAACUAGUGAUCCGGCGAUCCCGUGUGGGUGGGUCGUCGCUCAACGGAUAAAAGGUACCCCGGGGAUAACAGGCUGAUCCUGCCCAAGAGUCCAUAUCGACGGCAUGGUUUGGCACCUCGAUGUCGGCUCGUCGCAUCCUGGGGCUGGAGUCGGUCCCAAGGGUUGGGCUGUUCGCCCAUUAAAGCGGCACGCGAGCUGGGUUUAGAACGUCGUGAGACAGUUCGGUCCCUAUCCGCUGCGCGCGUAGGAGUCUUGAGAAGGGCUGUCCUUAGUACGAGAGGACCGGGACGGACCAACCUCUGGUGUGCCAGUUGUUCCGCCAGGAGCACGGCUGGUUGGCUACGUUGGGAAGUGAUAACCGCUGAAAGCAUCUAAGCGGGAAGCACGCUUCAAGAUGAGG
This 2147-nucleotide ribosomal RNA is filed under the name human metagenome. Its description in RNAcentral is "bacterial LSU rRNA". It matches the Rfam family "Bacterial large subunit ribosomal RNA", at positions 784 to 2809 of the family's 2925-position model. The record is from RNAcentral.